Oxyura jamaicensis (ruddy duck) is the source of this 227-nucleotide long non-coding RNA. RefSeq lists it as uncharacterized. Lineage: Eukaryota; Metazoa; Chordata; Aves; Anseriformes; Anatidae. The record is from RefSeq and is a predicted model, not a curated record. The transcript is spliced from 3 exons.
UCCUGGAGGGCGAGGACGCCCACAUGUCUUCCCACUACGCCUCGCAGCCUGUGAAAGAAGCACCCGUAACUACCCGCCAAAUCCGCACGAUCUUCGAGGAAGUGCAGGACGGGAAGGUGAUUUCCUCCCGCGAGCAGAUCACCCAGGCUGCCCGCUAAGCCGCCAGCGUGGUUUCCUGCAAACCUCCCGUGGCAAAGCUCAAGAAGAUGCCAGCUUGUGUGCUCCGG